This is a long non-coding RNA of Triticum dicoccoides, 1002 nucleotides long. RefSeq lists it as uncharacterized. The record is from RefSeq and is a predicted model, not a curated record. Lineage: Eukaryota; Viridiplantae; Streptophyta; Magnoliopsida; Poales; Poaceae. The transcript is spliced from 3 exons.
CUUAUCCGCCGCCACGUCCUGAGCUGCCCAUCUAUGGCGCGCCGGACUAGUUCCUCAUCCAGCCCGGCGCCUCCUCGUAGCCAAUCUCCACCACCUCCAGCGACCAACUCCAGCUCGUGCCUCAUACUAUGGUCCUGCCAGUGCGCCGCCGCCCGCCGCCGGUGAACGCCCUCCGCAAGGACUGCCACCGGCCCCUCUGCUUCGGCGCUCCCCGGCCGCUCCCGGCCCUCUGCCUAGUCGCCAGGGACGUGGUGCUCCUCGCCUGCUCCAGCCAGCCCCCCGCGCCGGCUCUGGCGGUCUGCUCCGACCUCUCCCGGUGGUGCUCGCCUGCUCGGGCGGACUCUGCCACCCAGGACUUCCCGUGAACAAAUAGCAAGCUAGUUGGGACACAGAAAUAGAAGGGGAAGAUAUAUUUCAUUGGUGCCCUCAACGGAAGUGUGUACACCCGGUGUUUCAGUUAGUCUGAAUGAAUUCCAGAAAUUUGAACAACCGUAGAUUGGACCACCGCCUUUGAUUUCAAACAACCCGCCUUCAAUCUCAAUCGAGAAAGCAUAUCAAAGGGCGAUGGAUCGAGGUUGGAUGAGUCAACCAAGAGCUAGUGCUGCUUACAAAGAUGGUGUCGAGCAAUUUCUGUCUUUUGCAUUCCGUGAUGUUCCGGCUGGUGAUAGAAUUCUUUGUCCUUGUGUAAAUUGCCGAAAUAAAGCUAUGCAGAGUUAUGAUGGAGUGAAGACUCACUGGAGAUGUGAUGGUAUUCUUCAAGGUUACACUAAGUGGGUUUGCCAUGGAGAGGAUUACAUUGAACCAUCAUUUGCAUUUGCUCAUGUAUCAGUGUCUUUUUUUCGUACUACUUCAGGGCACAACCCAAGUGUACUUGGGUUUUAAUUGUGCAAGACACUAGACAUGGAUACAUUAUUUUUAUGCUUUGCAUGUGGUUUGUGAAGAUGGUAUGAUAGCUGCAUUUAUGUCUCACUUCAAAUCAGUCCCAGAUGCUCGAGUCUGGAG